GACGAACGCUGGCGGCGUGCCUAAUACAUGCAAGUCGAACGCUGAAGGAGGAGCUUGCUUCUCUGGAUGAGUUGCGAACGGGUGAGUAACGCGUAGGUAACCUGCCUGGUAGCGGGGGAUAACUAUUGGAAACGAUAGCUAAUACCGCAUAAUAGUAGAUGUUGCAUGACAUUUGCUUAAAAGGUGCACUUGCCUCACUACCAGAUGGCCCUGCGUUGUAUUAGCUAGUUGGUGAGGUAACGGCUCACCAAGGCGACGAUACAUAGCCGACCUGAGAGGGUGAUCGGCCACACUGGGACUGAGACACGGCCCAGACUCCUACGGGAGGCAGCAGUAGGGAAUCUUCGGCAAUGGACGGAAGUCUGACCGAGCAACGCCGCGUGAGUGAAGAAGGGUGUCGGAUCGUAAAGCUCUGUUGUAAGAGAAGAACGAGUGUGAGAGUGGAAAGUUCACACUGUGACGGUAGCUUACCAGAAAGGGACGGCUAACUACGUG
This 495-nucleotide ribosomal RNA is filed under the name uncultured bacterium. RNAcentral's name for it is "partial 16S ribosomal RNA". It matches the Rfam family "Bacterial small subunit ribosomal RNA", at positions 28 to 507 of the family's 1533-position model. The record is from RNAcentral.